AGAGUUUGAUCCUGGCUCAGGAUGAACGCUGGCGGCGUGCCUAACACAUGCAAGUCGAACGGGAUCCUUGGAUUCGUCCGAGGUGAGAGUGGCGAACGGGUGAGUAACACGUAGGUGACCUGCCCCGAAGCGGGGAAUAACCAUUGGAAACGGUGGCUAAUACCCCAUGUGCUCCAUGGUUCGUUCUGUGGAGUAAAGUCCCCGCAAGGGGUGCGCUUCGGGAGGGGCCUGCGGCCCAUCAGGUAGUUGGUAGGGUAAUGGCCUACCAAGCCUAUGACGGGUAGGGGGCGUGAGAGCGUGACCCCCCACACUGGCACUGAGAUACGGGCCAGACUCCUACGGGAGGCAGCAGUGAGGAAUAUUGCCCAAUGGACGAAAGUCUGAGGCAGCAACGCCGCGUGGGCGACGAAGGCCUUCGGGUUGUAAAGCCCUUUUCCGGGGGACGAGUAAGGACGGUACCCCAGGAAUAAGUCACGGCUAACUACGUGCCAGCAGCCGCGGUAAUACGUAGGUGGCAAGCGUUAUCCGGAUUCAUUGGGCGUAAAGCGCGUGCAGGCGGUUCCGUAAGUCGGAUGUGAAAGCUCCUGGCUUAACUGGGAGAGGUCGUUCGAUACUGCGGGGCUUGAGGUCGGGAGAGGGACGUGGAAUUCCCGGUGUAGUGGUGGAAUGCGUAGAUAUCGGGAGGAACACCAGUGGCGAAGGCGACGUCCUGGCCCGCACCUGACGCUAAGACGCGAAAGCGUGGGGAGCGACGGGAUUAGAUACCCCGGUAGUCCACGCUGUAAACGGUGGAUACUAGGUGUUGGUGGCUAUCGUCAUCAGUGCCGUAGCUAACGCGUUAAGUAUCCCGCCUGGGGACUACGGCCGCAAGGCUAAAACUCAAAGGAAUUGACGGG
RNAcentral lists this ribosomal RNA (896 nucleotides) under uncultured bacterium. RNAcentral describes it as "bacterial SSU rRNA". It matches the Rfam family "Bacterial small subunit ribosomal RNA", at positions 8 to 917 of the family's 1533-position model. The record is from RNAcentral.